Non-coding RNA from Pelobates cultripes (western spadefoot toad), 120 nucleotides. The record is from the annotation of a GenBank genome assembly. NCBI's taxonomy places the organism in Eukaryota, Metazoa, Chordata, Amphibia, Anura, Pelobatidae.
CUGUAUAAGAAAUGAGGAAGGGAGGCUAUACUUUUAUAGUUAUACUUUUUGUUUGCAAAUCCCUUUUUAUCCUUAGAUUGAUUAAAGGUAGGGCCUCCCUUCCUCAUUUCUUAUACAGUG